GACUAUGGCCAUGCCAUCCUGAACGUGCCCAAUCUCAUCUGAUCUUGGAAGCUAACCAGAGUCGGACCUGGUUAGUACUUGGAUGGGAGUCCACCUAGAAAUUCCAGGUGUUGUAGACA
Molecule: ribosomal RNA, 119 nt
Organism: Pteropus vampyrus (large flying fox)
Lineage: Eukaryota; Metazoa; Chordata; Mammalia; Chiroptera; Pteropodidae
Source: Ensembl